Molecule: long non-coding RNA, 549 nt
Organism: Numida meleagris (helmeted guineafowl)
Lineage: Eukaryota; Metazoa; Chordata; Aves; Galliformes; Numididae
Exons: 3
Source: RefSeq, a predicted model, not a curated record
GACCUAUUUCUAGAGAUCCUUCUUUGGGGGAAGUUUUUCUCUAUGAGCCCAUACUCCUCUGAUAUGGCCCCCUGUCUUCAAAGCACUGCUCAUCUGCCAACUUCUUUAACACACAAAGUGAUACUGAUUUGCACCUUACCAGAGGAAGAAAAAAUUACCUGCCAGUAAAAUCUCUUUAAAACAUUCCCUGUUGCAUCCUACGACCUUUUGAAGGGAAGCGGGUCCUGACAGAAGCGUGGGAACUGCUUCAAAAGGCGUCACAGCCGAAAGAGAAGGAUUUCGCUAAACUAGGAGGAAACCCAAGUCACACACGGGGCCUCGGGGCGUGGGGCUGCAUCAACGGGAAUCAUCACGCCGGGAUCUUAGUGCAGACAGCGUCCGCCGGGCGCCUUCAGCAGUGAGGGGAGUUGAGGCGGGCAACGCCGCGGGGGAGCAGCGCUGGUCCGUACCACUGCGUACCUUGCAGGGGAGCGCCGCUCUCCUCAGCGUAGCGUGGCUCCCCAGAGCCGCCCCGUGGAGGAGCCCAGCAGUGCAACCCUCGCUGCCACC